Molecule: transfer RNA, 72 nt
Filed under: Patescibacteria group bacterium
Lineage: Bacteria
Description: tRNA-OTHER
Source: RNAcentral
GGCAGGGAGUAGACCGGUGUCUAGGGACGUUUCAUAAGCGUUCUCCGGUGGGUUCGACUCCCACCCCUGCUA